This is a long non-coding RNA of Cyprinus carpio carpio, 2239 nucleotides long. NCBI's taxonomy places the organism in Eukaryota, Metazoa, Chordata, Actinopteri, Cypriniformes, Cyprinidae. The record is from Ensembl.
CACACAAACGCACGCACGCAUGCACACACACACUCGCACACACGCACGCAUGCACACACACACACGCACACAUGCACACACACACACACACUCGCACACUCACACACACACUCGCACGCACACGUGGAGCAUGAACCAAUUAGACUACAAUAUCCAUGGAUGUAGCCUAAUAUUUUAUCAUAAUGCUUCAUCAGACACUGUGUCUAUGGCCCCAAAUACUGUACCACCUUUUCAGACCAUUAACAGUAUUGACAGUACUGCACUGUAUAGAUGCAGGCCCUUGUAAUUGCUUGUCCAAUUCUGCCAACUCGUUACUGAUGAUUGCGUGAACAUUGUAGAAUGAGUAUAUAGUGAAGAGUUGAUUGGGAUCCAGUGGCAAGAGCAUAGUGAUACAUAACAUGGAGCCAGCAGGUGAUGAAGGUUAAGCAGUGGUGGGAGGAAGACGAGGAAGACGUGUUGGUCAAAGGAAUGGCAGGGGACAGGCACCACUUCUGAGAGGUGGUCGUGGGCCUCGUUUGAGAGGUGUGGGGGAACAUGGUACAGGACAAGGCCAUGGAACAAGACAGCGGCAGCAACAGCAUAGAGUAUCCAAUGAAACUCGAGCAAUAGUUGUAGACCAUGUCAUAAAUCAUGGCAUGACAAUGACUGAGGCGGCUACAAUGAUACAACCAAACCUCAGAAGGUCAACCGUGGCCUCAAUAAUCAGAACUUUCCACAAUGAGAACCGAAUUGUGACCAGGCCAAAUAGUGGAGGCAGAGGCUUAAUUCUAACUGACCAACAAGAGCAGGCUGUGGUCGAUUUGGUUCGGGCCAGAAAUGAUAUUCGCCUUACAGAAAUUCGCCAGUAUAUCUUGGACAAUGAAGACAUGUUCAGCAAUGUGGGAGCCAUAAGUUUGCCGACUAUUGCACGCAUACUGAAAAGGCACCAGGUAUCUAUAAAACAACUAUACCGUGUGCCUUUCGAAAGAAAUGCAGACAGAGUGAAGCAAAUGAGGACUGAGUAUGUUCAGAGGGUGAUGGAGCUGGAUGCUGAUGAUGACCAUCACAAAUUCAUAUAUUUGGAUGAGGCAGGUUUUAAUCUGGCCAAGACAAGGAGGAGAGGUCGGAAUUUCAUUGGCCAGCGGGCAACCAUCCAAGUACCUGGACAACGUGGGGCCAACAUUACCAUGUGUGCGGCUAUAUCAGAAGAUGGUGUGCUGGGACGCAGACCUCAUAUUGGACCAUAUAAUGCAGCUCUCCUUGUCACCUCUCUUGAGGAGCUCGAUCAGGUUUGUAGAGCUGAAGGUGUGACCUAUGUCACUGUGUGGGACAAUGUCAGGUUCCAUCGUGCUCAUGUGGUGCAAGCAUGGUUUCAGGCCCAUGCACAACUUACCACCCUGUAUUUACCCCCAUACUCUCCCUUCCUUAACCCGAUUGAGGAAUUUUUCUCCGCAUGGAGAUGGAAGGUUCAUGAUAGGCAGGUUUUAGAAGGUUUUAUCCAAGAUGUUUGGCUAAUGAAAACAUCCAUUGUGAUGUAGAUGAGAACCUGUGGCCAAAUCCACAACACAGAGUUGAUGACAAUAUAGAAGUUCAGUAAUCACUCCUGUUUUGUUUCUUACAGUACAAGCAAACAAGUUAAGGAACACUGCAUUUGAUGUUUUACAGUACUGUCUUUUCUUUUCUAUUUCAUAGCUAAUUAUUUUUGCUUUGAUUCAAAUAAACCUAUGCUGUGAUUGUACUGUAGUGUUUUGCAUCAAUAUAUUACAAACUUUGUUCAAUGAUUCCACUGUGUCUGUAGUAUUCUCUCUACUACUGCAGUACUUUUACAGAGAUAAUGAAACCUGUAUCACCUAUUUUGUUCUACAAUAUUUAUGAUUGUACGAACAAUGACACAGUGAAACUAUCGGUUGCUUAUGUGUGGGUGAUCUAUAGUUAUGUUUCAAUGGCAUUUCACAGUAAAUUUGUGUUUUGAACCAAUGAUUGUGCAAGAUUUCUUUAAAGAUGUGAAUGCACAAUGCAAUGUUUUGAACAUUAGACAGCCUGUGUUACAAGUGAUAACCGUUUUGUGUCUUGAGUUUUGAAAAAUUACAUCAAGGUUCUGAAAAUAGUCGCAAAGUGAUUGUAAAAUACAUCAGUGGAAAUCCAUGAUGUUCACUGGACUGCUGGAGGAAGGCUGAGGCUGUCGAUGACAGAUUGCUGUGUGCUGCACCUACUGUAUUUCAUCUAGAGAAAAUAUAAACAUGAUAUAAAUGUUUUUUUU